This is a non-coding RNA of Vicugna pacos (alpaca), 1766 nucleotides long. Lineage: Eukaryota; Metazoa; Chordata; Mammalia; Artiodactyla; Camelidae. The record is from RefSeq and is a predicted model, not a curated record.
GGGAGGGGGGACCCCCAGACGCCGUGUCCGUGCUCUGCAGUCUGUGGGCUCAGUGAGGGUACGGAUGCCAGCAGACGGUCCCGGCAUCUUCCCCAGACGGCUGCUUUGGGGCCACGGCCAUGAGAGGGGCUGGCCUUAGUUCAUGGCCAAUUCAGACCAAGCUGAAGGCUGACGGAACUUGGGGAGGGAGGCGGUGACAGCCACAGUUGGCCAGUAGCCUCUUUUACUAACCGUCUUUACCAUCCAUCCAUGUAGCUUAAGAAACUGGUGCCUGGUGGGGGCUCAGACCACGGAGCUGUCUAGGCCUGCUUCUCGCUGCUGCCUUCCCCCCAGCCUCCCGCCCUUCCUGGGAUGACUCAUGUUAAAAAAUGGUUUAUUUUCUCAGACUCACUUUUUUUACUAAGCCUGGAAAAAUGACAAGAGCUGGUACCAGAAGAAUUACGCCCUGUCACGGAACUGUUUUCCCCAUGGAGUUCAACAUCAACACAUCUUUGAUGCACUGGAACAGCAAAACAAGGCCUGGGCUGGAGCAAGGGCAGCGGUGGCACUGGGCCGCCAAGCGGGCUGCGCGGCUGCCCAGGAAGGCGGGGGGUAGGGACUCGGUCCCCGAAGGGGCCAGGAAGAAAAACCAGCAUAUGCUGCAGGCGCCGUGCGCGUCCAUCCCCGAGCACGGAGCUUUUCUGGAGGGCGUCUCAUUGAACCUUCACCACAUCUCACGCUGGCAUGGAGAGCCCUGUGUCACCCAGGAGGAAACUGAGGCUCCGAGAAGCAAGGGAUGGAGUCCAGAUCUGUGUAGGAGCACGAGGACUUCCAACUGCCCAAGAGGAGAUGAGAGAAGAAGAGGGAAAGAAAGAGGAAGACGAAAAGAGACGCACAGAAAAAGACAGAGCCCCAGCUGCAGAGGCAGCCGCAGAAGGAGGUGACCCAAGAGGUCUAGCCCAAACCCUGCUGCUGCGGUCAAGUCCCUCUCUCUGGUCCUCCAGCUCCAUCGAUGGAGGAACAGCUGCUCCCUGACCUCAGGAUGACAGAUGCUGCUCACCCCUCUUUUUUCCCAGUCUGCAAAGAAUCCAUAAAUAAUCUAAUUCUGGUCCACUUCUGAUACUAACUCACCACAGCUUUUGGAAAUGUCACUUUGCCCUCCCUGAGUGUCCAAAACAUGUUUUGAAUUUAGCAGGCACGUCCAUCUAAUCCACGAUCUGGGGAAAGAUUAACACACAGAUACGUCCAGCAAGGUCGACCUGCAACCCCACUCUGCCAACGCACUAAGGGAGCCUUGUCAGGAACUACAGGGCAAGUUAUGCCCGGAAAACAGCAACACACAAUUUAAUGAAUGCUGCGUCUGUUCACAUUUCUCUUCCCAAGGCAAACUCUUUAAGAGCAGUGGCCAGCUGUAAGCAAUGCCUUUCACGUUCAUGCACACAUACAUAUACAUCAUGGAAACAAAAAUUACCCCACAUCUACUUAUUUUUGCUGUGUGCAGUGCACUGUUUUCUCCUAUCCUCGUCUUUGAAACGCUGAUCAUGACCCACGAAAGUGACUUUCUAAGCCACCGACGAGCUGUGAUACGCAGUUUGAAAAACACCGAUUCCAGAAAGCCUCUGCCCCUUUGAGGAGUGGCUCGCGUACAGUCUAACCUAAGUUCAGAUUUCGUGAUCGUUGGAAGGUUUCAUCCUAAGAAACCAGAAGGCACUUAUUAAACAAAGAGAUCAUUAGUUUUAACACUAGAAAUGUCCACAUAAGACAGGGUGGUUAACGGACUUGUGUCC